Molecule: long non-coding RNA, 604 nt
Organism: Leucoraja erinaceus (little skate)
Lineage: Eukaryota; Metazoa; Chordata; Chondrichthyes; Rajiformes; Rajidae
Exons: 2
Source: RefSeq, a predicted model, not a curated record
AAGGCCAUUGCGUCCAAUCACAUAAAGCGCCAAUCACUCGACGGCCAAUUAGACGUAGUCUCCGAGGGGCGUUGCGGCCAAUCAUCGACCAGCUAACCUUCCUGAAGCAGAAGAUGGCUGCAGAAGCCUAGAGAAAGAUCAACUGGCAAGAAAGAAGCACAGGGCAGCCAUGUUGAGCAAGUUUAUUCAUGUCAUAGGUUUAUCAAUCACUUUUUUUCUGUGCUGUUUGCACACAGUGUUAGGAAAAGAAACAUAUCAGGGUCAUUCUGUUCUGAUUGCAGUAAAGAAUGAGCAGCGUGAGGGCUCUUUAUCAAUCCAUCAAUGGACCAGACGACAAAGCCUAGGGUUUCCUCCAAUACCCAUCAUUGGAAGCCACAGCCUAGGGUCGCGGAUGUGGAUCUGAAGGAGUCUCGAAACGCCGCCUGUCAAUGUUCUCCAGCGAUGCUGCCUGACGCGCUGAAUUAUUCCAGCACAUUGUGUCUUUGAUUUUCCCUCAGGAAUGCGGGCUGUGGACAAGAGGCAAGUCAACGAAUCAGAGAUUCCCGACUGUGUGUUCACCAGGGUUCAGCUUGGAACUCGCUAUGUAAAAUAAAACACAUCCAGU